RNAcentral lists this ribosomal RNA (261 nucleotides) under uncultured bacterium. Its description in RNAcentral is "partial 16S ribosomal RNA". It matches the Rfam family "Bacterial small subunit ribosomal RNA", at positions 524 to 777 of the family's 1533-position model. The record is from RNAcentral.
UACGUAGGUGGCAAGCGUUGUCCGGAUUUACUGGGCGGUAAAGAGCGCGGCAGGCGGUCGUUCAAGUCGACGUUGUGAAAGCCCCCCGGCUACAACUGGGGAGGGUCACGCGAUACUGAUCGACUCGAAGGCAGGAGAGGGUAGUGGAAUUCCCGGAUGUAGUGGUGAAAUGCGUAGAUAUCGGGAGGAACACCAGUGGCGAAGGCGACUACCUGGCCUGUUCUUGACGCUGAGGCGCGAAAGCUAGGGGAGCAAACGGGG